CAGGCCUACAACCUCUCCGCACGUUCCUUCUUCACCUAAGGCUGACAGGAGGAUCGACGUCAGCAACAUUACAAGCUUCUAUUUCAAGCCUUAUCCAUGCAUGCAAAACACGCGGUGAGGCAGAGGACCUCUUAGGUGACCCCUAGGAGAGGCUCACUAGGACCUAAUAAUCAGGCCUACUUGAUAGCAAACGAUAAGGCUUUCCACACCUAAGUUUUGUGUAUUCAGGUUUAUUUGUAAGAGACUAGCCACUUUGGUAUUCCUCUACUGGCUAUAAAGGGAAAACCAACGCUGCCGUCAAAGGGGAUUGAAGGGGAUCGAACCCAAAAGUUAGCUAAGGAAAACUAGCUCAUGUAACUCUCCGAUUCGACCAUAGAUCCAAGAAAAAGGCACCGUUGAACCGCUCCUUGGGAUAAACUCAAGUGGGGGUCCAUUGAUUCGCUGUUGUAGGGGCCCAUACUCCAACAGUUUGUAAGUGACUCAUAGACCAUCAUUUUUGCCAAGUUUCAUGCAAUUUGCCUGUGUGGUUUGAGAGAUCUUGGGUGAGAACCAAAGGAGAUAAAAUCUACUAUUUCUCCA
Oryza sativa Japonica Group (Japanese rice) is the source of this 579-nucleotide non-coding RNA. NCBI's taxonomy places the organism in Eukaryota, Viridiplantae, Streptophyta, Magnoliopsida, Poales, Poaceae. The record is from RefSeq and is a predicted model, not a curated record.